CCUAAAGUAGGUCAAUCUACUGGAAAACCCAGUAUUAACUUCAGGUUUGACAACAGGAAGAUUCAUCCGUGUAAUGAACAGUCUCCUUUUAAAUACUAUCGAAUUUAAAUGAAGAAAAAUAAGUCAAUCAAGUCUUCUGUUACUUUGGCACUUGGAUCUGGGGAAUGAUCAUCAUCACCACUAAAUAUGAAAGGAUUUUCAGCAAUACUUUGGAGAGUAUAAAACUUGCAAACAAGGUCAAUUAUAACGUCGUCCAGAAAUGUAGCAGAAUACACAGAAGACUGUGGUAGGGACAGUGCUUUUUCAUUAGCAGGAUUCAAGAAUUCAAUGACAUGGUCAUUUUCAGGGUCUUCUGUCGCCCUGGCUGGAGUGCAAUGGUGCCUUCUCGACUCACCACAGCCUCUGCCUCCUGGACUCAAGCAAUCCUCCCACCUCAGCCUCCCAGACUAGCUGGGACCACAGAUGUGCACCGCCAUGUCUGGCUAAUUUUUGUAUUUGUAGUAGAGACAGGUUUUUCGCCAUGUUGCCGAGGCUGAUCUCGAACUCCUGGCCUCAAGCAAUCCACCCGCCUUGGCCUCCCAAAGUGCUAGGAUCGCAGGCGUGAGCCACGGCACCCAGCCUUGAAUAUUAUUUAAAAGGCAGCUUUGGUAUGACAUCUGGAUGAAUUUGGAAAUCAGAAACUUCAGCCAGGAUAAUUUUAGCUACCCUCUCAGCCAAUGUCUUUGUGUCAUUGAGAAAAUCUUUAUCAGGUGGAUUUCUCAUUAAAAUCUGAAGUCAUUAAAUAGUUCCUUCCCAAGCAUGAAGUCUUGCUGUAUAGAGAAAGAGUGGAGAUAAUAGCCUCCUGAUGACAUCUUCUAAAAAUGAGUGUGAUAACAUGGUAAUGUAGCAUGUUGAAUGUUGAACUUGGUAAAUAAGUUAUUUCAGGUUAUUCUGAAGUUUCUGCAGUAUAUUUUCAGCUUUGAGAGAGUAAUAUGAAUUAGGCAUGAGCCUUUCUUCAAAACACAAUGGGAGUUGCUAGUCUCAAAUCUCUAUCAGUAUGCCAUUAGUUAUCUGCUCUGCUACUGGGGUGAUAGUGUGUGCCAGAUGAUUACCACAAGUCACUUGCAAUUUAUAUUCCCGUAAAGCAUCGUUAUAAACUGAGUCAACAAUCUUACGAGCACUUUUUUUUUUUUGAGAACAAGUCUUACUCUGUCACCCUGGCUAGAGUGCAGUGAGUGGCACGAUCUCAGCUCACUGCAACCUCCACCUCCCAAGUUCAAACGAUUCUCCUGCCUCAGCCUCCCGAGUAGCUGGGACUAUAGGCACACACCACCAUGCUCAGCCAAUUUUUGUAUUUUUAGUAGAGAUGGGGUUUCACCAUGUUGGCCAGGCUGUAGACUAGUUGGAAACAUAUCCUUUCUUCAACACCCUAUAAAACAGUGACUUGAGCAUUAUUAAACUCAUUUACCAUGGGGUAAACACCUAAUAUACUCACCUCAUUGAACUGGGCCUCAGUGAUAUUUAUAUUUUUUUUUGCCCAAAAUGAGGUAUAGAGAUUAAGAAAAAUGCCUACAAUUAUUUCCUCCAAAAAUGUGGCAGAGUAAACUCCUGGGUUCAUGCCUUCUAGAUGUUGCAUGCUAUGAAUGGCUGCUAUAUUUAUUGCUUUUCUCCUGGUCUUCAAAGAGGAGGUAGACAAGAGGGUUUUCUUGGAAGUUGCUUACCAAAUAGGCUUCUAUUUGGAACAGAUAGCUCAGAUACUAUCCAGUGCCCCCUUCAAAGGCUUGCUGUCAUAACUCAUGAAACUUAUAGAGCCUUUUCCUUAUCUUGAUUAUUUUAAUUCUGGCCUUUUUGCUUUUAGGAAAUUAGAAAGUCUCCUUCUUUUCCUAUAUGCAAAGAAUGCAAAGGAUGGACAUCUUAGAGGUUGCUGUACGUGGUGUGAUUGUUUUUCCAUUAAGGAUUUUACAAAACUAUGGGAAUAAAACUAAUCAUAUAUUCUUGAUCGAUUCCCUCCAGAUUUUCCAAAAGUUCUUGUAUUAGGUCAUUUUUGCAUUGCUGUAAAGAAAUACCUGAGGCUGAGUAAUUUACAAAUAAAAGAGCUUUAGUUGGCUCAUGGUUCGGCAGACAGUACAAGAAUGGUGUCAGCAUCUGCUUCUGGGGAGGGCCUCAGAAUGCUUACAAUCAUGAUGGAAGGCAAAGGGGGAAAAGGCACUUACACGGGGAGAGCAUGAACAAGAGAGAAGGGGAGGUGCCAUACACUUUUAACAGAUCUUGUGAGAACUCCUUCACUAACCUGAGGACAAUUCUAAGCUAUUCAUGAGUGAUCCUCCCCCAUGAUCUAAACACCUCCCACCAGGCCCCACCUCCAAAAUUGGUUCAUUGUUUUCCUGUAAUAACCAAAUCCUUCUUCCUCUGUAUUUUGAAGUACGUUGAACAGUUGACAUUCUGCUGACAUUUCAUCAGAAAGAGGGUUAUUUGUAAGAGAGUUGUUUGUUGCGCAUUCUCAUAAAAGCAUUCUAAUAAGUUUCUUGCACACAAAUUUCAGAUGAAAAACUGAUUUGGGGGAAAGCCCUAGAUUAUUUCUAGGUAUGCAAUGACUUUUCUGAUUACUUGGAGAUGGGAAUAUUUUCAUUGCUAUUUUACCAGAAUCCAUAUCCCAAUUUGGCCAUUCAUCUGGCAAAACCAAAUCUAAAACAAUAUUUACAUUUUUAUUGACUACUUUAGAUUCACAGUUUUUAGGCUACCAACCAGAGUGCCUAAAUUACAUGCUAGAGAAUUUAGUUUAUUUUUCUGCAUGAGUUUAUCAAUUUGGGCAGUAGGAGCUGAUUUCCAGUCUCUGGAGCCUGCUUGUCUUUUCAUAGUUUUGCUUUUGUUGCAAUUGGCCAAAUUAGGGCUUCUAGGCAAAGAAAAUGAUUUGUUUCUUCCAUUGCCAUAAGGCUGAUGAUUUAUUCCUAUUUCUUUGUACAGAACAUGGAUGACUCCUAUUAAGAGUUCCCGAAAGAGAUCAUCAAAGUCACAGUCACAGCCACUCUUGGGCAGUAAAUAUAUUUUGUUUUUACAGAAACCAUUUGUUGGGUAAUGUCUGCUUUUAAAAUGUCACUAUUAAACAGGAUUCAAAUAAUGAUUUCAGAAAUGCUUAAAGCAAGUUCUCUGAUAGAAAUUGACUGACUCUCCAACACUUUGUAAUAAACUAAAAUAACCUUGUUAAAAGCUGAAUCUUGACUUUCCAGUGCUUUUUGUUUUGACCCACUGUCUUCGGU
RNAcentral lists this long non-coding RNA (3236 nucleotides) under Homo sapiens (human). Its description in RNAcentral is "HSALNT0286349". The record is from RNAcentral. Lineage: Eukaryota; Metazoa; Chordata; Mammalia; Primates; Hominidae.